GCGCCUAUCGUCUAGAGGCCCAGGACACCGCCCUUUCACGGCGGUAACAGGGGUUCGAAUCCCCUUAGGCGUA
Molecule: transfer RNA, 73 nt
Filed under: Chloroflexi bacterium 54-19
Lineage: Bacteria; Bacillati; Chloroflexota; Chloroflexia; Candidatus Chloroheliales
Also listed under: 1 other name
Description: tRNA-Glu
Rfam family: tRNA
About the family: Transfer RNA (tRNA) molecules are approximately 80 nucleotides in length.
Source: RNAcentral